CUUCUUGUAAAUAACUUCUUGCUUUACCCAUUUAGCAGAACGAUCGUGAUCCUCGCUUGAGAGAGAGAGCAGUUGCCAGAAAUUCUCUACUAGACCAAUGUAGUAAAAUCCUUCCUACAGUUCAAAGGAAGCUGGCUGUAGAGAGAACCAAGCCUUACCGUGUGCCUUCAUCGGUCUUAAGAGAAGUCCCAAGGCCAAAGGCAUUAUCAGCAGUAACACGACAGGCUAAUGCAGGAAAUGUGCACACACGAGCAGCUUUCAUCGGUAAAGUAUUGUCCAAAUUUAGAGAAGUAUGGUUGGGAAAUGAGCAGAAAACAAGUAUCUCACAAUAUUACAGAUUGCUGGAUUUGGUGGUUCGUCCUGUUCCUUCCUGUUCUGUGGCACAGGAUGAAAGCUGGCAGACACCGUGCAGAGCUUCUACUUCUUUUGUGGUAUCCAGCCCACUGAAAUCAAAGACACAUCGCUCUAUCUCACAAAAGAAUUCUCCAGGAGCAUCAAAGCUGAAUUUACUGGAGACUCCUCCUGUGGCUAAGGUUAUUGAAGACAGUGCAGUGAAGGCAUAAAAGCUUAAGAAGCAGCACCUAAACCACCAUUAUAUGGUGAACUACAUCCAUAAGGCAAUCUUCAAUACAGCUAUGAUACUAUAAAGCAUCAGUUUUUAUGUGGUUUGCCUGAUAAUAAAAAUGGUGAAUGUGA
Molecule: long non-coding RNA, 696 nt
Organism: Corapipo altera (White-ruffed manakin)
Lineage: Eukaryota; Metazoa; Chordata; Aves; Passeriformes; Pipridae
Exons: 4
Source: RefSeq, a predicted model, not a curated record